CCGCCUGGGGAGUACGGCCGCAAGGUUAAAACUCAAAUGAAUUGACGGGGGCCCGCACAAGCGGUGGAGCAUGUGGUUUAAUUCGAUGCAACGCGAAGAACCUUACCUGGUCUUGACAUCCACGGAACUUUCCAGAGAUGGAUUGGUGCCUUCGGGAACCGUGAGACAGGUGCUGCAUGGCUGUCGUCAGCUCGUGUUGUGAAAUGUUGGGUUAAGUCCCGCAACGAGCGCAACCCUUAUCCUUUGUUGCCAGCG
Molecule: ribosomal RNA, 255 nt
Filed under: Salmonella enterica subsp. enterica serovar Montevideo
Lineage: Bacteria; Pseudomonadati; Pseudomonadota; Gammaproteobacteria; Enterobacterales; Enterobacteriaceae
Description: partial 16S ribosomal RNA
Rfam family: Bacterial small subunit ribosomal RNA
Source: RNAcentral